This 579-nucleotide ribosomal RNA is filed under the name uncultured bacterium. RNAcentral's name for it is "partial 16S ribosomal RNA". It matches the Rfam family "Bacterial small subunit ribosomal RNA", at positions 355 to 932 of the family's 1533-position model. The record is from RNAcentral.
UGGGGAAUUUUGGACAAUGGGCGAAAGCCUGAUCCAGCAAUGCCGCGUGUGUGAAGAAGGCCUUCGGGUUGUAAAGCACUUUUGUCCGGAAAGAAAUCCUUGGCUCUAAUACAGUCGGGGGAUGACGGUACCGGAAGAAUAAGCACCGGCUAACUACGUGCCAGCAGCCGCGGUAAUACGUAGGGUGCAAGCGUUAAUCGGAAUUACUGGGCGUAAAGCGUGCGCAGGCGGUUUGCUAAGACCGAUGUGAAAUCCCCGGGCUCAACCUGGGAACUGCAUUGAUGACUGGCAGGCUAGAGUAUGGCAGAGGGGGGUAGAAUUCCACGUGUAGCAGUGAAAUGCGUAGAGAUGUGGAGGAAUACCGAUGGCGAAGGCAGCCCCCUGGGCCAAUACUGACGCUCAUGCACGAAAGCGUGGGGAGCAAACAGGAUUAGAUACCCUGGUAGUCCACGCCCUAAACGAUGUCAACUAGUUGUUGGGGAUUCAUUUCCUUAGUAACGUAGCUAACGCGUGAAGUUGACCGCCUGGGGAGUACGGUCGCAAGAUUAAAACUCAAAGGAAUUGACGGGGUCAUAGCUG